CCUACGGGUGGCAGCAGUGAGGAAUAUUGGUCAAUGGACGCAAGUCUGAACCAGCCAAGCCGCGUGCAGGAUGACGGCUCUAAGCGUUGUAAACUGCUUUUGUCCGGGGGUAAACCCCGAUACGUGUACCUGGUUGAAAGUAUUGUACGAAUAAGGAUCGGCUAACUCCGUGCCAGCAGCCGCGGUAAUACGGAGGAUCCGAGCGUUAUCCGGAUUUAUUGGGUUUAAAGGGUGCGUAGGCGGUGUGUUAAGUUAGAGGUGAAAUGCCGGGGCUCAACCCCGAAAGUGCCUCUAAUACUGGUGGUCUAGAGAAGAGUUGAGGUAGGCGGAAUGUGUGGUGUAGCGGUGAAAUGCUUAGAGAUCAUACAGAACACCGAUUGCGAAGGCAGCUUACCAAA
This 398-nucleotide ribosomal RNA is filed under the name uncultured bacterium. Its description in RNAcentral is "partial 16S ribosomal RNA". It matches the Rfam family "Bacterial small subunit ribosomal RNA", at positions 338 to 733 of the family's 1533-position model. The record is from RNAcentral.